Molecule: non-coding RNA, 258 nt
Filed under: Staphylococcus massiliensis S46
Lineage: Bacteria; Bacillati; Bacillota; Bacilli; Caryophanales; Staphylococcaceae
Source: Rfam by way of RNAcentral
UAAUUAGGGUGGCAACACGGAAAUUUCGUCCCUUACAUAGUUAAGUACUAUGUAAGGGGCUUUUUUUAUUGCAUGAAACUCAAACUCGAAGUUUAAAAUUCUUAGUUUUUAAACGUUUUUGCUAAAUGACAACUUUAAUUAUCUAAUUUCCUAACAGCUGACUCCUAGGGGAGUAGCGUGCGUCCGGAGACUACAGGCUCCGGCCACGCCUCAGGAAAGCAUGCUGUUAAGGAAAUUAGGGUGAAUUAAAUACUUUAA